This 516-nucleotide ribosomal RNA is filed under the name Plectosphaerella sp. DY31-W1304-MS5. RNAcentral's name for it is "eukaryotic LSU rRNA". The stretch from base 145 to 298 matches the Rfam family "5.8S ribosomal RNA". The record is from RNAcentral. Lineage: Eukaryota; Fungi; Ascomycota; Sordariomycetes; Glomerellales; Plectosphaerellaceae.
CAUUACUGAGUACUACACUCUCUACCCUUUGUGAACUAUUAUACCUGUUGCUUCGGCGGCGCCCGCAAGGGUGCCCGCCGGUCUCAUCAGAAUCUCUGUUUUCGAACCCGACGAUACUUCUGAGUGUUCUUAGCGAACUGUCAAAACUUUUAACAACGGAUCUCUUGGCUCCAGCAUCGAUGAAGAACGCAGCGAAACGCGAUAUGUAAUGUGAAUUGCAGAAUUCAGUGAAUCAUCGAAUCUUUGAACGCACAUGGCGCCUUCCAGUAUCCUGGGAGGCAUGCCUGUCCGAGCGUCGUUUCAACCCUCGAGCCCCUGUGGCCCGGCGUUGGGGAUCUGCCACGGCAGGCCCCUAAAACCAGUGGCGGACCCGAAGGCCCUCUCCUUUGCGCAGUAGCAUCAGCCUCGCAUUGGGAUCCCUCGGCGUCCUGCCUCUAAACCCCCCACAAGUCCGCUCCGGCGGCACCAAGGUUGACCUCGGAUCAGGUAGGAAUACCCGCUGAACUUAAGCAUAUC